Molecule: long non-coding RNA, 243 nt
Filed under: Elaeis guineensis (African oil palm)
Lineage: Eukaryota; Viridiplantae; Streptophyta; Magnoliopsida; Arecales; Arecaceae
Description: long non-coding RNA (EGUI_LNC023036)
Source: RNAcentral
GGCAGUACUGAGGAAGUCACUUGAGAUCUUAAUUGUAGCCUCAUCUUAAGCACCCGAAUAGAAGAUUGAUUGGAUGGUUCUAAUCACUGAAAUUUGUAAUGGACUCUCGAUGCACAACAGAUCUAAAUUGUGCAUAUUUUAUGCAGUGUAAAUGGUCCAUUCUCAAGUCAAGUAAAUGAUAGUCCAUUCUCAAAUCAAGUAAACGAUAGUCUAUUCUCAAGUAAAUUUGUAAUCUAUUAUCAA